Bos grunniens (domestic yak) is the source of this 2012-nucleotide long non-coding RNA. The record is from Ensembl. NCBI's taxonomy places the organism in Eukaryota, Metazoa, Chordata, Mammalia, Artiodactyla, Bovidae.
GUUGCUUCCAAGAGCUGAACGCUACCACCAGCAGUAGCCCUGGAGAACCAGGAAACUCAGAGUUCAAGGUGAAAGGGUGAAGUUGCCUGGGCAAGACCCCUCUCAGAUGGGGGAUAGCAGAGGUGGGGUCUGCCUGGGAGGAGACUGCUGGGGUGGGAAGCCCACAGCCAGGUGGAAGAAGGGGCCGUCGUUAAAGCACCUUUUAAACUACAUAACAUGGGUUUGGGGCUUCCCAGGCUAUAUAGUCCAGGAGGUUGCAGAGUCAGACAUGACUGAGUGACUAAGCACAGCACAGCACAACAUGGGCUUUACAAAUUCAGGAGUCAGGGCAGGGGCCUAAUGGAAGUAAGGCCCACUGGGGCCCUGGGGCCUCCAGGCUCUGCUGGGGGAAGUGACCCUGGAGGGAGGAUUCCCUCACAAACCUGGGACAAAGUGUUCUUCCUUCCUAGGACCUGGCCCAGAAGCCAGAGGGGAGCCAAGCAGAGCCCAUGCCCCAGAGGCCCCAUCAACUAUCAUCCGGAAGCCUACAGGAGAAAAAGCUGGCUCAGGGAGCCCCAGGGCCCCCAGGCCUCCCCUCCCCAGGCCUGCCAGAACCCCAAGAUCCCCUGGAGGGGCUGGGCUGGAGCUUGGGCCAGGAGAGAGCAGAACAGAAGAAACUGCUAAGGAUUGAGAUUCCUCACAAUCAGAGAGAGGGGGACCCUCAGGGUCAGGGUAAGAGAGAGAAGACAAACCAGAAUCCAAGCGGGGAGGCUACUCAGGCUCUGAUGGAAGAGGUGUCUCAAGGUCAAAGGUGUGAGGGCCUCCAGGGUGAGCACAGAGGGGCGCCUCAAGGUCAAAGCGAAAGUCGCCUCAAGUGCGGGAGAAAGGAGGCCCUCCCAGAGCCGAGGGCAGAUUCUCCCCGGGGUUGGGAAGAGAAGAUCCUCCAGUCUCCCGAGGGCAGAGACUGUAUCCCACCUGCCUGGGAAGCGGCUCGGGGAGAGGGGCCCCGGGAGAAAAGCGGCUCCCCGGGGGACUUCCGCAGGUCCCUGGGGGAACGGAUGGGGCAGCCUGGGGGAAGGGCGGGCCCAGGGCCCGGGGGAAGGACCACCCAGCUGAUGCAGGUUAAGACCGACGGCCUGAGAGGAAACAGCGCACCGGCCCUGGGAGCGCAGGGGCCCCUCCGGGAAGGGUUGCGGGCUCCGCUUCCGCUCGCUGGGCCCCCGACCCGGCCACUGCUCCCAGGCCCAGGAGCGGUGAUGCUAUCGGCCCCAUGCACUGGGGGCUCCGGGCAGCGGGAACGGCCCGCUGCUCUCCCAGGGCACCUGGGCCCGCUGAGCGAUCCACACUCGCUUCAGGGCCCAGGAGGAAGCCCUGGCCCCGCGGAGCAGGAGCUGGGCGGCUCCACGGGGCUUCCGGGCGCCUUCGGGAGACCGAGGGGUGCUGCGGAGGCCCCCAGAACCUCGAAGACCGCCUGGCCCGAGCCCCUGAGCAGAGACCGGGCGUCGGCGAGCGUGAGCGCCGCGCAGCAGGCGUCGGCUCUGCAGCGGCUGCUGGAGCUGAACCGCGAGGCCAGGCGCCGGCGGCAGCGGGACCGCGAGCAGCAGCGGCUCCGGCUACUGGAGCGCCUCCGCAUCGCCAGGAACCGCCAUUGCCGGGUGCACCCCUUGGAACCCCCACCGAGCCCAGCUCAGCUCCCACCACAGGCAAGACCCCUAGGAGAAGGCGGUGGGGCCACAACGACCCUGCAGGGGCGGGGGCCGGUGGCCAAGCUGGGCGCGACCUGGAUCGCUUUGACUGGCCUCUAUCCCGCACUUGCGAUAACACCUGCGGAGUGGGCCGACCCUCCAGAGCACAGAGGGUGCUGCCCUCUGCUGGCCGCUUCGAGCCCGGGGGGCCGGGAGGCACCGGCGGGCGCUCAGCGUUCCGUCCCGCCUCAGGAGGACGCGGCAGGGCGACGACGCGCCGUGCGGGAACAGCUGGAGCAAACGCACCGGGAAAGGACCGGGCGGCUGCGAGCCCUCGGGGCCAGGUGA